CCCCGCGAUUGGACUAGGGCGCCGUCCGUCCCACGGGCCCGCGGGCUCUGUGAGCAGCCAGUGCGCAGUUCCCAGGCCCGGGUGCGCGGGAGCGGCGCGUCCCGGAGGGGCUCGGGCUCGGUCCUGGGGAGGGAGCUGCGGCCUUGAGGCGGGUGCAGCCUAUCUGGACCCGCCCCGAGGGAAAGCCGUCGUCGUCCUCCUCCGGAUUGGUUCGCCCCGCUGUCAGGGGUAAGUGAACCCCCGAAGCUGGCUCCAAGCUCCCGCGGCGCAGUCGCGACCCUUUCUGGCCUCCACUCUCUGGAGUUAGGAGAAUCGCGCCCACCUGGAGCUCGGGACCCCGCGCCGCGAAGUACUGAAGGUCUCUGGCCGAGAAGACACAGGCAGCUGCGGGCGCUGCGCGGACACCUGCCCCGGACGCCGUAGAGUCGCUGAGGCUGGCGACCGUCCAAACCACCCCAUCGCCAUCGCCGUGUUCACAGGAAGGGGGCAGAGGGGCAGCCCGUACUGUGUGCCAGCCCCGGGGAGCGCCCCCGACCGCUCAGGCGAAGCCUCUACUGUGAGCCGGCUCCGAAGGGUGCCCCCAGAUCACCGAGGAGGUGUUGAUUGCCCAGGAGGAAGCCUUACUUGAAACUAACUAUUCAUGCAAAUUGCUUGAAACUUGCAUUGGUUGCUGAGUUGAAAGGAUCACAGGAGACUGACUCUUUUAAGCUAGACUGGAGUUGACUCUGCCUAAUGACACAGUGGGGGUUACAGCCUACAGGCAGGAAUAGACUGGUGUAGGUAGCCUCUAACUCACCUUCCAGGGGUUCCUGAGCCGGCUUCACGUUGCACCGCACUUCUUGAGACUGGAUUCAGGGCUUUCAGCUCUGCCCUUUCUAGAGGUGAAAUUCUUCCUGUAUAGAUAAUGUCUAUACUUCCCUAUCACAACACGCCCUGGAACAGAACCCUGUGAAACAUUUGAGGCAGGCCCUCCCAUGCUAUAUUUCUCUGUGAUCUAAAGCAUGUACACAUUGUAAAAUCUUUUUUAUCUCUUUUAAAACACGGCUGUAAUAUAUGGGAAUGGGUAUAAUAAAACAUCUCAAAGAGUAA
Molecule: long non-coding RNA, 1089 nt
Organism: Rhinolophus ferrumequinum (greater horseshoe bat)
Lineage: Eukaryota; Metazoa; Chordata; Mammalia; Chiroptera; Rhinolophidae
Exons: 2
Source: RefSeq, a predicted model, not a curated record